AACGAACGCUGGCGGCAUGCCUAACACAUGCAAGUCGAACGAUUGCCUUCGGGUGAUAGUGGCGCACGGGUGCGUAACGCGUGGGAAUCUGCCCUUAGGUUCGGAAUAACAGCUGGAAACGGCUGCUAAUACCGGAUGAUAUCGCGAGAUCAAAGAUUUAUCGCCUGAGGAUGAGCCCGCGUUGGAUUAGGUAGUUGGUGGGUUAAAGGCCUACCAAGCCGACGAUCCAUAGCUGGCCUGAGAGGAUGAUCAGCCACACUGGGACUGAGACACGGCCCAGACUCCUACGGGAGGCAGCAGUGGGGAAUAUUGGACAAUGGGCGCAAGCCUGAUCCAGCAAUGCCGCGUGAGUGAUGAAGGCCCUAGGGUUGUAAAGCUCUUUUACCCGGGAAGAUAAUGACUGUACCGGGAGAAUAAGCCCCGGCUAACUCCGUG
This 435-nucleotide ribosomal RNA is filed under the name uncultured bacterium. Its description in RNAcentral is "partial 16S ribosomal RNA". It matches the Rfam family "Bacterial small subunit ribosomal RNA", at positions 29 to 507 of the family's 1533-position model. The record is from RNAcentral.